This 98-nucleotide transfer RNA is filed under the name Deltaproteobacteria bacterium. Its description in RNAcentral is "tRNA-Sec". It matches the Rfam family "Selenocysteine transfer RNA". The record is from RNAcentral. RNAcentral also lists the same sequence under 1 other name. Lineage: Bacteria; Pseudomonadati; Myxococcota; Myxococcia.
GGAAGCGGAAAGGGCACUGGUGGCCCUCCCGGACUUCAAAUCCGGUGCACUGGGUGAAGAGCUCGGUGGGUGGGUUCGAUUCCCAUGCGCUUCCGCCA